UUACAACCUGCACCGGAGGGGACAGCCACAGUUUAUAACAAAGGCGACCACUUCCUGAGCGUUCACUGUACACCGGGCACUGUUCUCAGUGCUUCUGUGUAUUGAUUACUUAAUCUUUUCAACAAACCCAGGAGGUAGAGUCUAUUAUCGCCUCCAUCUUAUAGCAGCCUAGGAGGUAUAAACAAUCCACCUACAGUCACACAGCUUGUAGAGACCAGAGCCUGUGUCUUGAACAGCUAUGCUGUGUUUGGUGUCCAUCACUGAAGGGGAAAUUGGGACUCAGAGACGCUCCUGUGGCCGGUGAGUGACGGGGCCUGCUUUCGGCAGUGACCGGCUGGCUCCCUGUGCCUCAGCCCCGUCCCACCAGCCAGAGGCCCCUGCGCCCCGGCCCAGCUCCCUGGGCCUCACAACGCGAAGGGCUCCUCCCAGGGAUCUGACAAAAGCGACUGUGUCUCACGACUGGCCGCUGUCCUCCGCCGGCUGAAGCGGGCCCUGUGUCCCGUGACAGCCUGUGCGGUCUGCGCUGAAUUCACGCGUCUGUGGGCAGCUGACCGGCCGGAGAGGGAACGAGGCAUUGGGGCUGCACACUGCCAUCUCACUAGCUCAGGCCUUGGACAAGUUUCCCUUUCUGAGCUCCUGUUUUCUCAUCUGUACAACAACAGGCAUCCUGAUGCUAACUCCUGUGAGACUCAGCGAAGAUCACAUACAUGCAAAACGAAGGGACAGUGAGGGCGGGUGGGCCCGUCCACGCCAGGCAGGGCUCCGGCCUCUCAGAACAAACGGGUGACAUGGUUCUGACCCACAACACUGAGGCUUGGAGGGCUGCUUGCUGGCCUAGACUUCCUGUGUGCUCGGGAAGGCCCAUCUUACAAAGUCCUCAAGUAAAGAUGCUCUUCUCCUCUGAUCCUCUCAAGCCAGAACAGUCUGUCCCCACACGUGCGCGGCAGCCCGCAGUCCCGCGGCCGUUACCUUGUAGGGCACUUCUCCAAGCCUCACCACUCGGGCCUGUUUCAGCCACGUGUCCCUGGAGUGCAGGGUGUGCACGCAGUCCCUAAGGAGCCAACGGGAGACAAGACAGGGUUCACACCCACUGAAGCACCCCGCGCCCGGUAGCCCGCAGGGCCCGGCUGCCUCCUCUGGCCCCCCAGGAGAAGGGGGAGCUCGGCCCUGGAGCGUCUCCCGGGGGACCAGGGGCCCGCGUCAGGCCCACAGUUAACAGGCACCUGCUGUCUCGCGGGGGGAUGCAUCCACUCACAAAUCCCAAACUAAAUGGCUUCCCGUGGUGCCUUCCCCCUCCUCUCGCCGGAAGGGCCCAGCAGAGCAGGUGCAAGCCCUCACCCAGGGUCUGGCCCACUCCUGAAUACCAGAGAGGGGGAGGGAGGGACGAGUGUCCAGAGAAGGGGUGGGGAAGCCAGAAGACGACGACACGGAGACUACAGUAAGCUGACAAAGUACACAGGUUAGGAUAAACGUACACAGAACAGUCGGUUCCACCUGGCUCUGGCUUCGCUCUCCUUCCAGAGCUUAGAGCCACACCCCGCCUCCCAUUCCAGCUGCUUCCUGCUGAGCCUUCAGCAAGGCCCACCCUUCAGUGGGGCUCCAAGGAGCAAGGGCACUAAGCUCCCUCUGGUGUGGACAUCCGGCCCUUCGCCUGCCCCCGGGCUGAGGCUGACGUCCAGCACAGCACACCGGACAGGGUCACACCUCCUCUGUGCCCCUUCCUAGCGGGAUGACCCCCGAUCCAUCAGGGACAGUGAGCACUGCCUCCCCGCCUCACAAGCUGCUGGGGGGACCAGAGCCCAGGGCUCCACACGCGUGCCCACCGCAGGGGCCCAUCUCUGCCUGAAGGAGUGACUGUCACGGUUGUGGUCUUCCAGUAGGAGCGGAGAAGGGGCAAGCAGGACACUACUCAAGAAACAGAAAACAAGAACUGGAGAGAAUGUACAGACACUGGGAACUUCAUGCUCUGCCGGGGGAUGUAAAAUGAUGCAGCCACUGCAGAAAACAGUGCGGAGGUUCUUCACAAAGUUAAACAGAAUCACCAUGUGAUGCAGAAAUCCUACUUCUGGGCGUAUACAUCCAAAAGGACUGAAAGCAGGGUCUCAAGAGAUGUCUGUGCACCCAUGUUCAUAGCAGCACUAAACACAACCAAAAGGGGAAGCAACACAAGUGUCCAUCAAUGGAUGCCAGUCACAAAAGGACAAAUGCUGUAGGAUCCACUUCUAUGAGGCAGGGACCCCCUUCCCACCAGAUGUCCCCUGCACGCAGGACACCUGUGCUGUAUCCUCCAUUGAGGUCGCCAGGCCCUGGAUGCUGUCGGCAGCUGGGCCCCUGACCAGCCAGGGGGCAGAAAGCUCCCACAGUGACCCUAACCGGAGGGUCGGGGAUGCCUCGCCUCGGGGCUGAGCUGCAGGAAGUAGCUCUCAGGCAGAGGAGUUGAGCCACCUACUCCUGCCGCAGCCUCUCCGCCGUGCCCCUCGCCCACAACGGCAUGCGCACACUGUGAAGCUCCAACCCCAGCCCGGCGAAGGCUGCUAAUCCCGGGCCGCCGGGCGUCUCCUCACCUGGAGUAGACAGCCUCUCCGCGGCAGU
Balaenoptera acutorostrata (minke whale) is the source of this 2592-nucleotide long non-coding RNA. RefSeq lists it as uncharacterized. NCBI's taxonomy places the organism in Eukaryota, Metazoa, Chordata, Mammalia, Artiodactyla, Balaenopteridae. The transcript has 4 exons. The record is from RefSeq and is a predicted model, not a curated record.